UACGUAGGGUGCGAGCGUUAAUCGGAAUUACUGGGCGUAAAGCGUGCGCAGGCGGUUUUGUAAGACAGAUGUGAAAUCCCCGGGCUUAACCUGGGAACUGCGUUUGUGACUGCAAGACUGGAGUGCGGCAGAGGGGGGUGGAAUUCCACGUGUAGCAGUGAAAUGCGUAGAGAUGUGGAGGAACACCGAUGGCGAAGGCAGCCCCCUGGGUCGACACUGACGCUCAUGCACGAAAGCGUGGGGAGCAAAC
Molecule: ribosomal RNA, 250 nt
Filed under: uncultured archaeon
Lineage: Archaea
Description: partial 16S ribosomal RNA
Rfam family: Bacterial small subunit ribosomal RNA
Source: RNAcentral